GCAGUAGCCGCGGUAAUACGAAGGGUGCAAGCGUUACUCGGAAUUACUGGGCGUAAAGCGUGCGUAGGUGGUGGUUUAAGUCCGUUGUGAAAGCCCUGGGCUCAACCUGGGAAUUGCAGUGGAUACUGGGUCACUAGAGUAUGGUAGAGGAUAGUGGAAUUUCCGGUGUAGCAGUGAAAUGCGUAGAGAUCGGAAGGAACAUCUGUGGCGAAGGCGACUAUCUGGGCCAACACUGACACUGAGGCACGAAAGCAUGGGGAGCAAACAGGAUUAGAUACCCCAGUAGUCCCUGUCUCUUAUAC
Molecule: ribosomal RNA, 302 nt
Filed under: uncultured bacterium
Lineage: Bacteria
Description: partial 16S ribosomal RNA
Rfam family: Bacterial small subunit ribosomal RNA
Source: RNAcentral